CCAGAUGGCGGAAUUGGUAGACGCACUAGGUUCAGGUCCUAGCGGUGGCAACACUGUGGAGGUUCGAGUCCAGCUUGAAACA
Molecule: transfer RNA, 82 nt
Filed under: Hydrogenophilales bacterium 12-64-13
Lineage: Bacteria; Pseudomonadati; Pseudomonadota; Hydrogenophilia; Hydrogenophilales
Description: tRNA-Leu
Source: RNAcentral